This 492-nucleotide ribosomal RNA is filed under the name uncultured bacterium. RNAcentral describes it as "bacterial SSU rRNA". It matches the Rfam family "Bacterial small subunit ribosomal RNA", at positions 8 to 475 of the family's 1533-position model. The record is from RNAcentral.
AGAGUUUGAUCCUGGCUCAGAGCGAACGCUGGCGGCGGGCUUAAGACAUGCAAGUCGCGCGAGAAAGUACCUUCGGGUAUCAGUAAAGCGGCGGACGGGUGAGUAACACGUGAGUAACCUACCUCUCGGUGUGGGGACAACGUCUCGAAAGGGGCGCUAAUACCGCGUACGACCUCGAUGACCACGGUUGUUGAGGGGAAAGGCGGCCUCUCCAUGGAAGCUGUCGCCGAGAGACGGGCUCGCGUCCCAUUAGCUUGUUGGUGAGGUAACGGCCCACCAAGGCUAAGAUGGGUAGCUGGUCUGAGAGGAUGAUCAGCCACACUGGAACUGAGACACGGUCCAGACUCCUACGGGAGGCAGCAGUCGGGAAUCUUGGACAAUGGGGGCAACCCUGAUCCAGCCACGCCGCGUGGGUGAUGGAGGCCUUCGGGUCGUAAAGCCCUGUCAGAGGGGAAGAAACGGUCUUAGGUGAAUAACCUCGGAUCGGGNNGG